UCGCCUAUCCGCAUUCCACGCCCUCCCACGCCACCAAAGGACAUCAGAAAUGUAUACAAUGCCCCGUUUGCAAUAUUUGAAGAUUGGGAGGGCACUCGUUGGAAAGCCCUUAAAGCGAAGAAAGUCACACAGCCUAGAUGUCUUGAUUGGCCAUUGCUCCGCCGGGUGCAGCUCGACCAAAUCAUAGAGACACAUUUGAAGAGUUUGGGACUUUUCAAGUUUUCCCAAACCACGCCGCCGGGCCUGCUUCCAUUACACUUGGAGUUCCUUUGCACACUCAACAUGACAGCCGACAAGACCCAGCUGCAUUGCCGCAUGCUCAACACGCCAUGCGUCGUCACCUACAGGAUAAUGAGUGAAGCCUUUGGGUUUCACCCUAAAAAAUUGAAGGGAAUGCCGGAUACUUGGGUGCCGGCUAAGGCUUGGAAAGAAUUGACUGGAUU
This 443-nucleotide long non-coding RNA is filed under the name Salvia miltiorrhiza (redroot sage). Its description in RNAcentral is "long non-coding RNA (SMIL_LNC004189)". Lineage: Eukaryota; Viridiplantae; Streptophyta; Magnoliopsida; Lamiales; Lamiaceae. The record is from RNAcentral.